UAACCGGCUUCAUGAGAGGUCGCUGAACGAUCAGAAGUCAGCCGAGGUCGUAGUACCUGCCUUUCCGGAAAGAC
RNAcentral lists this non-coding RNA (74 nucleotides) under Alteribacillus bidgolensis. Lineage: Bacteria; Bacillati; Bacillota; Bacilli; Caryophanales; Bacillaceae. The record is from RNAcentral.